This 497-nucleotide ribosomal RNA is filed under the name uncultured bacterium. RNAcentral's name for it is "partial 16S ribosomal RNA". It matches the Rfam family "Bacterial small subunit ribosomal RNA", at positions 28 to 507 of the family's 1533-position model. The record is from RNAcentral.
GAUGAACGCUGGCGGCGUGCCUAAUACGUGCAAGUCGAGCGAACGGACGAGAAGCUUGCUUCUCUGAUGUUAGCGGCGGACGGGUGAGUAACACGUGGAUAACCUACCUAUAAGACUGGGAUAACUUCGGGAAACCGGAGCUAAUACCGGAUGAUAUUUUGAACCGCAUGGUUCAAAAGUGAAAGACGGUCUUGCUGUCACUUAUAGAUGGAUCCGCGCUGCAUUAGCUAGUUGGUAAGGUAACGGCUUACCAAGGCAACGAUGCAUAGCCGACCUGAGAGGGUGAUCGGCCACACUGGAACUGAGACACGGUCCAGACUCCUACGGGAGGCAGCAGUAGGGAAUCUUCCGCAAUGGGCGAAAGCCUGACGGAGCAACGCCGCGUGAGUGAUGAAGGUCUUCGGAUCGUAAAACUCUGUUAUUAGGGAAGAACAUAUGUGUAAGUAACUGUGCACAUCUUGACGGUACCUAAUCAGAAAGCCACGGCUAACUACGUG